GGCGUAGGGUAGUCCAACGGUACGACGCGGGCCUCAUAAGCCUGAGAUUCGGGUUCGACUCCCGGCCCUGCCA
Molecule: transfer RNA, 73 nt
Filed under: Rhodococcus sp. (in: high G+C Gram-positive bacteria)
Lineage: Bacteria; Bacillati; Actinomycetota; Actinomycetes; Mycobacteriales; Nocardiaceae
Description: Rhodococcus sp. tRNA-Met
Rfam family: tRNA
About the family: Transfer RNA (tRNA) molecules are approximately 80 nucleotides in length. Their secondary structure includes four short double-helical elements and three loops (D, anti-codon, and T loops). Further hydrogen bonds mediate the characteristic L-shaped molecular structure. tRNAs have two regions of fundamental functional importance: the anti-codon, which is responsible for specific mRNA codon recognition, and the 3' end, to which the tRNAs corresponding amino acid is attached (by aminoacyl-tRNA synthetases). tRNAs cope with the degeneracy of the genetic code in two manners: having more than one tRNA (with a specific anti-codon) for a particular amino acid; and 'wobble' base-pairing, i.e. permitting non-standard base-pairing at the 3rd anti-codon position.
Source: RNAcentral